RNAcentral lists this ribosomal RNA (164 nucleotides) under Tolypocladium sp. 20102558A. RNAcentral's name for it is "partial 18S ribosomal RNA". It matches the Rfam family "Eukaryotic small subunit ribosomal RNA", at positions 1670 to 1831 of the family's 1831-position model. The record is from RNAcentral. Lineage: Eukaryota; Fungi; Ascomycota; Sordariomycetes; Hypocreales; Ophiocordycipitaceae.
CGCCCGUCGCUACUACCGAUUGAAUGGCUCAGUGAGGCGUCCGGACUGGCCCAGAGAGGUGGGCAACUACCACUCAGGGCCGGAAAGCUCUCCAAACUCGGUCAUUUAGAGGAAGUAAAAGUCGUAACAAGGUCUCCGUUGGUGAACCAGCGGAGGGAUCAUUA